This 818-nucleotide ribosomal RNA is filed under the name Triticum aestivum (bread wheat). Its description in RNAcentral is "partial small subunit ribosomal RNA". Lineage: Eukaryota; Viridiplantae; Streptophyta; Magnoliopsida; Poales; Poaceae. The record is from RNAcentral.
GACCCCUCUCGCCUCGUCCUCCCCGCACGUCUCUCGCCCCCUCCUCGAUCUCGCUCGCCCCAUCCUCCUCCUCCCGUGCCGUUCGCCUCCCCGUCGUUCUCGCAGCCUUGCGCCGCCGUUAGUCGCAGGAGCCACCCCGCCGCGCCCGGAGCCGCCUCCCAUAGCCGCCUCCCGCAGCCGCCACCGGUCGCCGCAGCCGUCGCCCCGGGAGCCUCCCUGCCGGCCUUUUGCCGCCUGCCGCGGCCGCGCCCUUCGUCGCCGGUGGCCGCGCACAUUCUGCUGACUCCAAGACGAGGAGCCGGUGCAUCAACGUCAAUGCGGGAUCUGUCCGCCCUCCUCGCUCGCCGUUGACGCCGCCAUAGGCGGAGGUGACGCUGCUCCACGGGAUCCGGCAAGGUCGUUUUCCAUCACGACAGCCCAUCACGGGUGCAGGUGACUGGGGCGUGGUAGUCGUCCCCAUCGUCUCUACUGUCCCCAUGCCAAGCGGUGGUCCUUCCCGGUGGCCCUUGCUCCUUCGCCAGCGCGCCUCCGCGCCGGGCCGCCGCCUCUGCUCCUCCGCCAGAGCCCUACCGCGCCCGGUCGCAGCCUCGCGCGCCUCCGUGCUGGCCCUCCACGCCUCUCCGCGCACGCCGCAGACGGCCCUCCUCACCUCCCACGACACGCCCGAGGAGCUCAACUGACGACGACACCCAUCUCCUUUCAGGUAAAUCAUGUUCCGAUCUUUAUAUUCUGUUAUUAUAUGCUUGUACUGAUUUCUUAACUUCCCCGUGGUUUUACCUUAAUCCACUUGCAUCUUGAGGGUCCUAAAAACAAACACU